AUUGAACGCUGGCGGCAUGGCUAAAACAUGCAAGUCGAACGUGCCCGCAAGGGCAAGUGGCGAAAGGGUCAGUAACGCGAUCGAAUGUACCUAUGGGUUGAGGAUAGCCGUGGGAAACUGCGGGUAAUACUCGAUGAUGUCUCCGGACCAAAGAUUUAUCGCCCUAAGAGCAGCGAUCGUCCUAUCAGGUAGUUGGCGGGGUAAAGGCCCACCAAGCCUAAGACCGGGUAGCAGGUGUGAGAGCACGACCUGCGACAUCGGGACUGAGACACUGCCCGGACUCCUACGGGAGGCUGCAGUAACGAAUCUUCCGCAAUGGGCGCAAGCCUGACGGAGCAAUGCCGCGUGUGGGAUGAAGCGGCUACGCCGUGUAAACCACUGUCAGGGACUAGAACCAAUGAUCAGUCCCAAAGGAAGAGCCGGCUAACCCUGUG
Molecule: ribosomal RNA, 434 nt
Filed under: uncultured bacterium
Lineage: Bacteria
Description: bacterial SSU rRNA
Rfam family: Bacterial small subunit ribosomal RNA
Source: RNAcentral